Molecule: long non-coding RNA, 214 nt
Filed under: Nicotiana benthamiana
Lineage: Eukaryota; Viridiplantae; Streptophyta; Magnoliopsida; Solanales; Solanaceae
Description: long non-coding RNA (NBEN_LNC017123)
Source: RNAcentral
CUUGAGUCGUGCUGGGCACUGUCUUAAGAAACUAUUUUAGCAGUGUGACAUAUUUUUUCAGGAUUAAACAAGCCUACCUCCAUUAGGGAGGAUACAGGAAUCAGCAAAAUUAAAUAUUACAAAACCCAGCUAGAAGGAAAAAGGAAGACCAACUAAUGUGAAAUAUUAAUUAAAUAUUAUAGGAGAGGGUUUGGAAGAAAGAGAGAGACAUAUG